Molecule: ribosomal RNA, 497 nt
Filed under: uncultured bacterium
Lineage: Bacteria
Description: partial 16S ribosomal RNA
Rfam family: Bacterial small subunit ribosomal RNA
Source: RNAcentral
GACGAACGCUGGCGGCGUGCCUAAUACAUGCAAGUUGAGCGCUGAAGGUUGGUACUUGUACCAACUGGAUGAGCAGCGAACGGGUGAGUAACGCGUGGGUAACCUGCCUUUGAGCGGGGGACAACAUUUGGAAACGAAUGCUAAUACCGCAUAAAAACUUUAAACACAAGUUUUAAGUUUGAAAGAUGCAAUUGCAUCACUCAAAGAUGAUCCCGCGUUGUAUUAGCUAGGUGGUGAGGUAAAGGCCCACCAAGGCGAUGGUACAUAGCCGAACUGGGAGGGUGAUCGGACACAUUGGGACUGAGACACGGCCCAAACUCCUACGGGAGGCAGCAAUAGGGGAUCUUCGGGAAUGGGAGAAAGUCUGACCGGGCAACGCCGCGGGGAGGGAGAAGGUUUUCGGGUCGGAAAACUCUGUUGGUAGAGAAGAAAGUUGGUGAGAGUGGAAAGCUCAUCAAGUGACGGUAACUACCCAGAAAGCGACGGCUAACUACGUG